Molecule: long non-coding RNA, 316 nt
Filed under: Microcebus murinus (gray mouse lemur)
Lineage: Eukaryota; Metazoa; Chordata; Mammalia; Primates; Cheirogaleidae
Description: lncRNA (ENSMICG00000048596.1)
Source: RNAcentral
CUCAUGCCGUGACCCCUGAACCUCUCUCUCUACUCUUCUGACAUUGUCCACCUCUUCCUUUCUUUUCCAAAACUCAUCAGUGCUCUUGCUUAUCUCUGCAGAGGCUUUGAAUCACCCACAAGACCAAGACAGAAGGCUAACAGAGAAAAGGAGCAGGGAGAGGGAACCAACUUCCUUGAGCUUAAAGCUGUGUUGGCCUGUAGUACCGUGAUGGCAACUCUGACUUUGUGGAGCUUCCCCUUUCCUCUCACAAGAAAGAAGCCUGAAUCACUGAGUGGCUGUUUUGAGGAUUGCUACCAAGAAGAUCUGCCCAACC